This 380-nucleotide long non-coding RNA is filed under the name Elaeis guineensis (African oil palm). RNAcentral describes it as "long non-coding RNA (EGUI_LNC020824)". Lineage: Eukaryota; Viridiplantae; Streptophyta; Magnoliopsida; Arecales; Arecaceae. The record is from RNAcentral.
CAUCCCUAAUGUAUCAGCAUCCCGUGCCCCACCUCAAAGAAAAUGACCCUAACCCUAGUUUGAUGGUGGUGGCCAGUGAUCCAUAUCGAGCCCAAGGCACUGCUCUAAGAGGGAUGAUGCAGAGCAUGGAGAUGGGCAUGGCAUCUAGUGGUUGCUCCAAGAGGGAGAGCAGAGCACCGAGAUGGAUGCAGCGGCCAGUGGAGGGGGGAGGAACACGUCGUCAGAGGUGGUGUCGGCGGCAACCGAUGAGCGUGAUGCUCCGACAGUCGUGGCACUGGGCGUUCAUCAGCCUCCAUCAUGGGGGCUUGAUGCGAGCUUAGAGAAGCCCGAGAUUUAGAUCUAGUUAUGGCCGUGGUGUAAGAAGAAAACAAUGGAAACAG